AUGUCGAGUACGGGUAGAAAGUAUCCAUCCGGAAGUCAUAAAAGAAAGAAGAAGAAGGAGGCAGAUGAGGAGAAAGAAGCAUUGAGCGGAUCUCUUUUUAAAUAUUAUAAGAGAGAUACGAGCACGCCAAGAAAUCCAGAUGAGUUGGCGAUAGUUCUUGCGGGUGACCGAACUAAUGGCAAUCCAGAAGAUGAUGGUCAUACUCCUACAGAAGGCAAUGCUGACGUCAACAUGGUUGAUAGCAAUGUGAGUAUCAUGAGCCCAUAUUUAUCUGCGGCAGAAUCUACUAGUGUUGAUGAGGAACCAGUUAGUGUGGAUAUUUAUGAUUCAAGCAAUUGGGGUAAUCUUGAUAACAAAGCGAGGGACAUAUUAGUGGAAAAGGGGCCCAAAAGGGAAGAAGAAAACACUAAAUAUCCUUUGGAUGAAAAUUCAAGACAUUUUUCAUAUGGCUAUUACUCAAGAAGGAUGAGCAAUGGAGAGGUGCGUGAUAGAAAAUGGUUAGUUUUUUCAAAACAAAUAAAGAAAAUGUUUUGUUUUUGCUGUAAGCUUUUCAAUUCUGAUGAAUGCAAGAGUGCAAUGGGGAAUGAUGGGUUUUGUGAUUGGGGGCAUAUUAAUGAGAGACUGAAAGAGCACGAAGCUAGUGUCGACCAUAUUACCAACAUGAACUCUUGGAAUGAAUUGAGAGUUAGACUGAGCAAGCAUGAAACAAUUGACAAAGAGUUACAGCAAAAAAUCACAAAGGAGAAGGAACACAUAAGGAAAGUUUUGUUAAGAAUUGUUGCCAUUGUGAAAUUUCUUGGUAAGCACAAUUUGGCUUUUACAGGAUCCAGUGAGCAACUUUAUGAUGAUUGUAAUGAGAUUCUUAGGCGUAUUCAAAACAAAGAGAUCCAUCACCAUUAUCUUAGCCAUAAAAUUCAAAACGAGUUGAUUUCUCUUAUGGCUGGUGACAUUACAAAUUCUAUUCUCAAGAUUGUCAAAGUGGCCAAAUAUUUCUCUGUUAUCCUAGAUUGUACCCCGGAUGUGAGUCAUCAAGAACAAAUGAGUUUGUUGGUUCGAUGUGUUCAUAUGUCUGAUGGAAAAAUACAAAUUAUGGAGUACUUCCUUGCUUUUUUGGUAGUGGAGGACACAUCUGGUUUGGGAAUUUUCAAGGUAUUGGUUGAUUCUAUGAAAUCCUUUGAUCUUAUUGAUGAUAUUAGGGGCCAAGGUUAUGACAAUGGAUCCAACAUGAAAGGAAAAUACAAGGGGGUGCAAAGUCGGUUGCUUGAGGUAAAUCCAAGAGCUUUGUAUAUGCCAUGUGCUUGCCACAGUCUUAAUCUUACCCUUUGUGAUAUGGAUAAAUCUUGUGGUAGAGCUGUUUCUUUUUUUGGAAUUGUGCAACGAAUAUAUGUAUUAUUCAGUGGUUCUACGAAAAGAUGGAAAGUUUUUGUUAGCCAUGUGACAGAUUUGGCUGUGAAAUCUUUGAGCAAUACUCGUUGGGAGAGUCGUAUCAAAAGUGUUAAAACAAUUAGAUUUCAAGCUCCUAACAUAAGAUCAGCUUUACUUGAGUUAAGUGAAGAUAGUGGUACCGAACCCAAGGAUAGGAGUGAUGCAAAAAAAUUGUUUGAUGUGCUUGGCAGCUAUGAGUUCAUACUUGGCAUGGUCAUUUGGCAUGACAUUCUAUUUGCUGUAGAUUCAGUAAGCAGGAAGCUGCAAUCACCAUCCAUGGACAUUGAGACUGCCUUAAAGCAAAUAGAUGGUAUGAGGACUUAUUUUGACACUUAUAGAGAGGAAGGGUUUGAUUCUAGUGUGAUCAUUGCCAAAGAAAUCGCAGCUGAAAUGGGUGUAGAGCCAUCAUUUCCAGUAAAGCGUCGUGUUUCUAGGAAGAAACAAUUUGGUGAAGAUGACAAUGAUGAAGCGAUAUUGGAAGCUGAGAAGAAAAUUAGAUUUGACGAACUUGAGUCAUUCAAAAAUAUAUUUGGAUUUUUAAUGAGUUCAUCGGCCUUGAAGUCAUUGGACCGUUCUGAACUUAAAGACAGAGUUACAAAAUUUGCAAGUGCUUUCUCUUCGGGUGGUUCAUCUGAUGUUGAUUUAAAUGAUCUGAUUUCUGAGUUAAUUGGUAUGCAAUCAACUUUGCCCGAUAGAACAAUGUCUGCUAUGGAGAUUUUUUAGUUUGUGAGGGAAGCAGAUUGUUAUCCAAAUAUUGCUAUUGCAUACCGGAUUUUCUUUACUAUGCCCGUUACUGUCGCAUCAGCUGAAAGUAGUUUUUCGAAGUUGAAAUUGUUGAAGAACUACUUGAGAUCUACAAUGUCGCAAGAGAAUGGUUUGGCAACUUUAUGCAUCGAGAAAAAUUUGCUUGAUGAAAUUGAUAUGGAUACUAUCCUUAGUGAUUUUGCAUCUCAGAAUGUUAGGAGAAAAUUUUGA
RNAcentral lists this ribosomal RNA (2400 nucleotides) under Triticum aestivum (bread wheat). Its description in RNAcentral is "partial small subunit ribosomal RNA". Lineage: Eukaryota; Viridiplantae; Streptophyta; Magnoliopsida; Poales; Poaceae. The record is from RNAcentral.